Molecule: small nuclear RNA, 107 nt
Filed under: Castor canadensis (American beaver)
Lineage: Eukaryota; Metazoa; Chordata; Mammalia; Rodentia; Castoridae
Source: RNAcentral
GUGCUUGCUUCAGCAGCCCAUAUACUAAUAUUGGAAUGAUACAGAGUAGAUUAGCAUGGCCCCUGCACAAGGAUGACAUGCAAAUUCAUGAAGUGUUCCAUAUUUUA